AUGUGUCAUAAACCAGUGUUUCUGAUUUUGUCUUCUAAUCUGAGACUGCGUCAUUCUUUUUUUUUUUUUUUUUUUUUUUUCUUUUGGUUGUUUGUAAGAUUGACCAACAGACCAGUCUUUCAAGGAUAUAUGUUAUCAAUACUUUCAAACAGGUCUUGGGCUAUUUUUCUAGUGCCCUGUGAGCCAGCCCUAGCAGAGCAGUUUGUAUGUGGCUCUUUAAUAUCAAUCUCAGGAUCUUCCCACCUUGGCUUCAAAAUCAAGAUUUUCAGGAGUUCUAAACUUGCGAUUUUCCUCUGAUCACUAUUCCCAUAUGGGCUUACGAGGAACUCAAUUUCAGAGCCUUUAUCUUGGGAAGAUAAUCAUGAGCAAUUCUUUUGCCAACUAAAAUUAACCCUGCACCCAACUCCAGCCCUUGGGCCCCCGAUUAUACUAAACCUUUCACCUUAUUUGUCCAGGAGCACGUGAUGACCAAACUCGAGAAAUUCUAACACAAAAGCAAGCAGGAAAAGAGAUCUAUUGCAUACUCCAACCUGCAAUUAGACCCAGGAGCCAGAGCGCAUUCAAACUGUUUGAAAGCAGUAGCAGCAGCUGAAUUGGUGGAUGCCUCAGCUGAAUAUUAGGAUAUGACUUAUACUUACAAGAACCUCGUGCUGUUGUGUGGCUAUUAAACUCUGACCAGAUGCAUUAUUUUUCAGCCAGCAAACUAACAUUCACCUCCUAACUCCAUUUUUUUUUUUGUUGUUUUGGCCACUCUAAGGCAUAUGCAAUCCCUUAGCCAGGGGUCAGAUCGGAGACACAGUUGUGACCUACGCGUUGGAUCCUUUAACCGGAUGUGCUGGGCAGGGGAUCAAACCUUCCUCCUGGCACUGCGGAGACGCUGCUGAUCCCCUUGCGCCACAGCAGGGACUCCCCAGCCUCCACCCUGAGUGCUGCAACUUGCUCAGUGCUGUUGCCCCUGUUAUCCUUGCUGGCAAUGGUACGGAACACCGUAGCCACGUAGACGUGGUGUCAUGGUUAUUGACCCCUUGUGCUGACUCACACACCAAUAGAAAACCCAGAUGCGAUACCUCUUCAGCCCUGGGUCCCAAGCUAAGGGAAAAAUUAAGCAGGAUAUGAUGGAACAGCUCAAUAGGAAAUGUUGAAAAGGGGAAUACUCCCCAAUUUAACUCCAUUCAACCAGCAGAACUACAAGCUCCCUCAAGGAUGUCAGCUACCCAGAGGGAAAUCAAUGAAUCUUUAUUUAUUUAUUUUUAUUUUUAUUUUGUCUUUUUGCCUUUUCUAGGGCCGUUCCCUCGGCAUAUGGAGGUUCCCAGGCUAGGGGUUUAAUCGGAGCUACAGCUGCCUGCCUACACCACAGCCACAGCAACGUGGGAUCCGAGCCGCGUCUGCGACCUACACCACAGCUCACGGCAACGCCAGAUCCUUAACCCACCGAGCAAGGCCAGGGAUUGAAGCCGCAACCUCAUGGUUCCUAGUCAGAUUAGUUAACCACUGCGCCAUGACGGGAACUCCCCAAAUCAAUGAAUCUUUAUACCGAUAGCAGAUAUACCUUUGGGGUGGCCCAUGACCUUGGUAUACUAUGGAAAACAGAGAAGUUCCUCACGUCUAGUGGAAGGCUGAUCAAAAAUUGGCCCCAGUAAAUGAUACACUCUCUGUCAUUCUAUUGUCUAACUGAAUUGCAAUUAUUUUUGUUUGCUUUGUUUUCCUUUUUAGGGCUGCACCCAUGCAUCAUAUAGAAGUUCCCAGGCUAGGGGUCAAAUUGGAGCUGUAGCCGCCAGUCCACGCCACAGCCACAGCAAUGCCAGAUCUGAACCGAGGCUGUGACCUACGCCACAGCUCAUGGCAACACCGGAUCCUUUCACCCACUGAAAGAGGCCAAGGAUUGAGCCCGAGUCCUCAUGGAUACUAGUCAGGUUUGUUACGGCUGAGCCAUGAUGGGGACUCCUAUGACAAUUUCUAUAAAAGACAAAAUCAGGCAUCUGAGAUGGAGCAACAAUGUUGGGACCAAAAAGGGUGCAAAGUUAACGUAAAACGAGGAUUCAUUGAGGGUCUGAAUGGCCGCCUGGUUCUUGGUGAAUCCUUAAAAAUGUCAUCACUAGGAGCUCCCGUCGUGGCUCAGUGGAAAUGAAUCUAACUGGUAUCCAUGAGGAUGCAUGUUCAAUCCCUGGCCUUGUUCAGUGGGUUAAGGAUCCAGUGUUACUGUGAGCUGUGGUGUAGGCCGGCAGCUACAGCUCUGAUUCGACCCCUAGCCAGAGAACCUCCAUAUGCCAUGGGUGCAGCCUGGAAAAAAAAAGAAAGCCAAAAAAAAAAAAAAAAAAAAAAAAACCCUGUGCAUUCUGCAAUUCAUGGCGGCACAGAUAAAAUGAUCUAAAUUAUAAAAAAGUAUUGGUGGACUGACUAUUCCAAGGUCACAAAAUUGGUUUUUCACCAAUAUCUGCUUGUCAAACUCAUAACCUGGAAAGACCGUUAAGGUGUUAGAUGGCGCAUUCCCACCACCUUCGGGGUGGGUCAUUUGAACACUUACAAGUGGAUUUCAUUCAAUUGCCUCCCUCAGUGGGUUAUCAACAUGUUUCUUGUGAUUGCUUGUGUGUGUUCUCAGGAUGGAUUGAAGCCUUCCUAUACAGAAAGGCUGAUGCCACAUCUGUGGCUGAGAAACUUUUCAAAAAUAUAUUUCCGUUAUAGGGCUUCCCCAGAGAAACCUCCAAUGAUAGAGGAAUUCAUUUCGCCAAACACAUAUAUUAAACAAAUAAAGCACUGCUGACCCAGUGGCA
Molecule: long non-coding RNA, 2771 nt
Filed under: Sus scrofa (pig)
Lineage: Eukaryota; Metazoa; Chordata; Mammalia; Artiodactyla; Suidae
Description: lncRNA (ENSSSCG00050073952.1)
Source: RNAcentral